CAAAGUGGACGUAGAACUCCCCCAUUUCCUGCCCAGGGCGGGUGAGGACCCUGCACACACACGGUGUGUUUGUGAGCUGUGCAGAGUGGGGUCUCCCUGGCAAUGGCCACAGCCUCCAGGGGCGCUGACACCUCCCGUCUAACUGGUAGACAGUUUCUGCCUCUUCUUGUUUGGGGAUUGGAGAGGGAAGUGCGUCUGGAUGACUACUAAGAUGAGGAGGCUGAGGCCUAGUGCUCCUAGCGGGCUUGGUCAAGAGCAGGAGGCGGAGGUGGUGGAAGGCUGUUUCCCUGCGAGAAUACACUGCAUCGAACACAGAACAAAAAGACUCACUACAACGCUGCAGCCACAAUAGUGUGUGAUUUCAAGUCUUAAAAACCAGAAUCACUUUCUUCUCUGGACUGGAAGCAUAUUUAUUUUGGCCGAAUAACAGAGUACACCAGUCAUCAUAAGAAGAAAAAUUCACAUUUAAAGUUUGGAAAGCAACAGGACAAAGGUCUGUCUUCAGUGGUGCGUAGACAUGCUCGUGAUUGAAUUGGAAAUAGUUCUCUUUCCUUCUCUCUGACUUCCUAACUGAAAAGCUGCAGCGUGGGGAGAAAGGCUGCUCAGAAGCCUGGAGCCAGAACACGCACCCCGGCUUUUGCAGGGCCGGCUCACUUGGUUAGAAUCAAAGGAAAAGCCUUGUUAUUUGGGAAGCUGGGCGUCCUCACCAAAUUAGGGGAUUUAAUUUGCAGAUAUCUAAGGAGUGCUUUGAAAUGAAAGAUGAACUAAAAUCUGCUCUGAGGCCCGUGAUUUUUCACCAGUGAAGGACUCUCUUGCUGCUGGACAUACAUGAAAAGCAUCAUCUGAUCUGAAACGCAAGUCCCUGCAAGACAGAGGAGAGACUUUAUAAACAUUUUAUACCAUUCUAUGAAAUCAAUUCGAUUCAGGGCUAGAAUUCAAGAAGUAAUCCAUGGGCAAGUAUAUCUGAUGGUAAACCCAAACGAUUAUAUUGUUAACCUCUUGUACUUUUUUUAAUUUUUUAUUAUUUGAUAUUAUUAUCACAAAAGUCGCUGGAACAGGAUCCAUGAGCUGCUUCUUCACUGCUUAGUGUUUUCAGAAGCUGAUGGAUUAUUAAGCUCCAAUUGAAUACUUGAUUUCCAAUGAUUCCAUUAAUUUUUCUGGUUUGUGGUAGGAUUUGAUUUACUUAUUUUGUACUUUAACACACCAAUAAAAAAUAGAUACUAAGAAAUAGUGAAA
RNAcentral lists this long non-coding RNA (1236 nucleotides) under Homo sapiens (human). Its description in RNAcentral is "long intergenic non-protein coding RNA 908". The record is from RNAcentral. Lineage: Eukaryota; Metazoa; Chordata; Mammalia; Primates; Hominidae.